UACGUAGGCAGCAAGCGUUGUUCGGAGUUACUGGGCGUAAAGGGUGUGUAGGCGGUUCUUUAAGUUUGGUGUGAAAUCUCCCGGCUCAACCGGGAGGGUGCGCCGAAAAUUGAAGAGCUAGAGUGCGGGAGAGGAGAGUGGAAUUCCUGGUGUAGCGGUGAAAUGCGUAGAUAUCAGGCGGAACACCCGUGGCGAAGGCGGCCAGCUGGGUCGUCCCUGACGCUGAGGCGCGAAGGCGUGGGGAGCGAACGGG
This 253-nucleotide ribosomal RNA is filed under the name uncultured bacterium. RNAcentral describes it as "partial 16S ribosomal RNA". It matches the Rfam family "Bacterial small subunit ribosomal RNA", at positions 524 to 776 of the family's 1533-position model. The record is from RNAcentral.